This 253-nucleotide ribosomal RNA is filed under the name uncultured bacterium. Its description in RNAcentral is "partial 16S ribosomal RNA". It matches the Rfam family "Bacterial small subunit ribosomal RNA", at positions 524 to 776 of the family's 1533-position model. The record is from RNAcentral.
UACAGAGGGUGCAAGCGUUGUUCGGAAUUAUUGGGCGUAAAGGGCGCGUAGGCGGUGCGGUAAGUCUGUAGUGAAAUCUCUGGGCUCAACUCAGAGUCUGCUGCAGAAACUGCCGUGCUUGAGUGUGGGAGAGGUGAGUGGAAUUCCCGGUGUAGCGGUGAAAUGCGUAGAUAUCGAGAGGAACACCUGCGGCGAAGGCGGGUUGCUGGGCUGAUACUGACGCUGAUGCGCGAAAGCCAGGGGAGCGAACGGG